Sitophilus oryzae (rice weevil) is the source of this 601-nucleotide long non-coding RNA. RefSeq lists it as uncharacterized. Lineage: Eukaryota; Metazoa; Arthropoda; Insecta; Coleoptera; Curculionidae. The record is from RefSeq and is a predicted model, not a curated record. The transcript has 2 exons.
UUGUAAGCUAAUCGAUCGUCAGCUAAUCUGUUAAUCCACUCUGCUUAACUAGAUCAACAUUGAGGCGCAAGUAUACGUAAUUUUAUUAUAUUUGCCAGUAUUUUAGUGUUGGUACGUUGUACAGCAAGAAACGGACUUGAGCUAGAUGCAGUUUUUUGCAUUUGGAAUUUUUGAAAGAAUAACGCCGAAAUAAUGGGUUGUAAAAAAGUUGCUUUUACUUUAGUGACAGUUUGUUUAAUAAUCGAAAGUUGUUGGUCCAAUGUAUUGAACAGGGAAUUAUAUAUUAAAAAUAAUGAGGAUGAUAUGGAAGUUAAAGAUAUACUACCAACAGAUGGUGCAGAUGACUGUUGCAGUGUCUGUAUUUAUGUACCAAGCGUUGGCUGUAUAGACCCAACCGACCCUUCUAUUCACCCCCCAUCAAUCAAGAUAGUUUCGAAAUGAUCUAUGUACCAAAUAUGAAAUUUUAGACUGCUGUUUUUAUAAAAAAAUUAAAAAAUCUGAAAAAUUUUCAAUUUCUGUUUUUUCCACGUGACUGACGUGAAGAAAUCAUGUAAAAUGUAUAUAUGUAUAAUUCAAUAAAUAGAUAAGUGUUAUAAAAGAU